This 531-nucleotide ribosomal RNA is filed under the name uncultured bacterium. RNAcentral's name for it is "bacterial SSU rRNA". It matches the Rfam family "Bacterial small subunit ribosomal RNA", at positions 34 to 536 of the family's 1533-position model. The record is from RNAcentral.
CGCUGGCGGCCUGCUUAACACAUGCCAGUCGAACGCGACAGGGACUAUGGUGCCUGAGUAAAGUGGCGCACGGGUGAAUAACACGUAGAUAAUCUACCCGAUACUUCGGACUAACAUUUUGAAAGGAGUGCUAAUACCAGGAUAACGCCCACGAGCUCUUCGGAGCUUACGGGGAAAAGGUGGGGACCUUUGGGCCUACUGAUAUCGGAUGAGUCCGCGGCCCAUUAGCUAGUUGGUGAGGUAAUGGAUCACUAAGGCAACGAUGGGUCGCUGGUCUGAGAGGAUGAUCAGACAUACUGGAACUGAAACACGGUCCAGACUUCUACGGGAGGCAGCAGAGCGGAAUUUUGCGCAAUGGGCGAACGCUUGAUGCAGCAUCGCCGUGUGAGUGAUGAAGGCCUUCAUGUAGUUAAGCUCUGUCAGAGGGCAAGAACCGUCGUGCGGAUAAUAAACGUGCGGUCUGACGGUACCUCUCAAAGGAAGCACCGGCUAACUCCGUGCCAGCCGCCGCGGUAAUACUAGCCGAAUUCU